UCUCUGUUAGUAUAUCGGUUAGUACACGCGCCUGUCAUUCACAUGGCCGCGCGAAAGCGGGGUUCGACUCCCCGACAGAGAG
RNAcentral lists this transfer RNA (82 nucleotides) under Trametes sanguinea. RNAcentral's name for it is "tRNA-Asp". It matches the Rfam family "tRNA". Rfam says of the family: Transfer RNA (tRNA) molecules are approximately 80 nucleotides in length. Their secondary structure includes four short double-helical elements and three loops (D, anti-codon, and T loops). Lineage: Eukaryota; Fungi; Basidiomycota; Agaricomycetes; Polyporales; Polyporaceae. The record is from RNAcentral.